AUGUAAUGUAAUGCCUACAAUGUUAAUGCAUUAGAUCCUAUUAGAACUUCGCAGUUAACUAUGUUUGGGCUAGAGUAGUACUGGGAUGAGUGACUUCCUAGAAAGUUCUAGUGUUUUACAUG
Picea glauca (white spruce) is the source of this 122-nucleotide non-coding RNA. The record is from Rfam. Lineage: Eukaryota; Viridiplantae; Streptophyta; Pinopsida; Pinales; Pinaceae.